This 7177-nucleotide long non-coding RNA is filed under the name Lactuca sativa (garden lettuce). RNAcentral's name for it is "long non-coding RNA (LSAT_LNC007778)". The record is from RNAcentral. Lineage: Eukaryota; Viridiplantae; Streptophyta; Magnoliopsida; Asterales; Asteraceae.
UGGACUCGACGAGUCCAGAUAUGGACUCGGCGAGUCGACGCUGUUCAGCGGAAAACCCUAGCCGUUCGGUUUGGGAAGUAUUUAAGGGAUCUUAUGCCUCCAUUGUUCGCCUUUUGGCCGACUGAGAAGGACCCUUAAUCGUUGUGGACGUCUAGGGCAGGAGAGGGAGCUUUUAGAACCUUGAAGAAUUUGUUAAGCAAGAAGAAGAAGAGUUUUGGCCAAAGGAAUAUCAAGGGGAUCGAGUUCUGAGGUUUGGAGACACAGAGAGGGUGUUAUUCAGGUAAUAUUUCGAAUUAUCCUCUGCUAUGUUGAUGUGUUAUGGAAUUAGGGUUUAUGAAACCCAUUUGGUGAUUUGAUGGAUUAUUAUGUUGUUAUACAAAAGUUUAUACCCUAGUAAUAGGAUGAUUAGAGGUCCAGAAGUCCCAUUGGUGUGUUUUUCGGGAAUAAACGUAUCUCAGGAAGCAGUUGGAUCGACUGCAUGGCGUGGACUCGCCGAGUCGGAUGAUCAGACUCGGCGAGUAGCUUGAAGAUUCACUGGGACUCGCCGAGUUGUUCUUCAGACUCGGCGAGUGGAGUCGGGGUGGCCCCGCGAUUCUUCCAGGAGUGACUCGUCGAGUCAAAGAGGAUACUCGACGAGUAGAAGGGGAAUCUCAGAGGACUAAAGGACGACCAGACUCGCCGAGUCGCCAGGGAACUCGCCGAGUCCAGUCGAGCUGACAUUGGACUGUUGACCAGAGUUGACUGGUGUGAUUCUUAGGGUCAGUUAACGUGGAAGAUAGAAGUAUUAAAUAAGGGAUAUAUGAUGUUACAGGGAGCUUGUAGCUCGGAGGAUCAAGUGCAAGGGAUUUUAGGAGUUGCUAUCUUCUAGUGUCCGCGAGGUGAGUCUUCUCACUAUACCUCACCCGGAAGGGUUUGAUUGUGUGACCGGAAGGUCAAGUAUGUUGUGUGUUAUGUUUAUAUGCUAUGAAUGGAAAGUUAGCUGCUACGCGUGAUAUACAUGCUUAUAUAUGGGCCGGAAGGCAAGGUAUUAUGUGACAGAAAGGUCAGGUAUGAUAUGUGAUAUAUGUGCUUUAUGUGUUAGAGUAUUUGUAUUAUGUGUUAUAUAUGUGUAUGGGCCGGAAGGCGAUUAUCUUGUGGACCGAAAGGUCCGGGCCGGAAGGCAAUGUUAUGUGGAUCGAAAGAUCCGGGCCGGAAGGCGAUGUUAUGUGGAUCGAAAGAUCCGGGCCGGAAGGCAAUGUUAUGUGGAUCGAAAGAUCCGGGCCGGAAGGCGAUAUUAUGUGGAUCGAAAGAUCCGGGCCGGAAGGCGUAUGUGCGUAAGGUAUAUUGGGGAACUCACUAAGCUUCGUGCUUACGUUGUUUAUGUUAUGUUGUUUCAGGUUCUUACAGUAACGCGGGAUGGCAACGGUUCGAUUGUACACACCGAAGAAAGAGUUGUGUUUUGGAGGAUCCUGGUCUUCUAUUAUAAUGAAAAUGAAACUAUGUUUUGUAAUUCGAAUGUGAAUACGAUUUUAAACAAGUGUUUUUAAUAUUAAAUUGAUUAUUUAAAUAAAAAUUUUGUUUUUGGAAAUCUUGGUGUUACAAAUUGGUAUCAGAGCCUUGGUUUGAGGGAUUCGGACGCGCCUACGGGUAAAUCUGGACUCAAACUGAGGAAGUAAGAAAAAGUUUUCCAAAUAAAUGGUUUUCUAAAAGUGAAUAAGAGUUCAAAGAGAAAGCAAGAAAGAGCAGUGUGUACAAUCAGCCAGAGCCAAACGGUGAUUUCCCAAAAUACCCUUACUUUUGUAUUAUGAAAUAUCUAUUAUGCACUUUAUGAGACAUUAUUGCAUGCUAGAGACAGGCUAGGUAUUUCACAUCUUAGGACUAGAGUGGCCUGAUUUGUGAUGCCUUAGUCUAGGGUUUGCUGUUAUAUGUGCGUUAUGCUUUUGUGUGUAUGUGAUGAGUGAGAGUAUCUAGUUAGAACGCACAAGGGGUAAAGCUACGGGGUACAGAGGUACUUCCGAGGAUGAGCCGAGAAGGUGGAGCUACCACAGAUGGGGAGUCCUAUGUAUGCUUCAAUGCUCGAAUGCUGCUUGCUUUGUGCUUUGUGGAGUUAUCGAUGAUGGGAGUCAGCUACUAAGUGAGUAUGACGAUACUCAGGAGGUAGAGGGCUGGCAUCAUUAGGAACUCUUCAGCAGCUGAUAGCAAAGAAGUGGGAGGACAGCGGAAGGGACUAGGGAGUAAACCUAGCCAGAUGAGUGCGCUGGUAGAGUAGAGGAUUUCGCUGGAAAGCGAGCACGCGCGAUGAGAUGGGUGAAAGAGCAGGUUUAUCAGCUACUUAGGAACUCUGGGAUGGUCCGUGUGGAAAGUAUGGGUAGAUGUGGCAGGUAGUAUGGGCCCGUACUACUGAAAGCAGAGGACCCAUACUUGAUACAGGGGGCAUUCUGAAGGUCCUAAGGAACAGAUUGAGGGGUGAUGUUAUGGUUCGGAUACCAUACAUCGGAGCGGAUACAGAGUGAUGUUAUGGUCAGGGCACCAUACAUCGGAACAGAUUGAGAUAGAUGUUGUGGUUCGAGUGCUAUACAUUGGAGCAGAUUGAGGAGUGGUGCUAUGGUUCAGGUACCAUACACCGAAGCAUGUUGAGGAGGGAUGUCAUGGGAUGAGUACCAUGGUUCGUAGUGGAUGAUGCUUGUGGCUAUCUUGUUAUCCGGUUAUCGAUCGGACGAGCACGAGCGAGCGGGAUGCGAGGAUUCGCGAGAUCCGGCGUGAUGAGGUUGCUGCAUUGUUGCGGGUUGAGUCGCCAGAAUUGUUUGGGUCGAUCAGGACCACUAUGAUUGAAGUAGUUUGAUGAGCGAUAUGCGGCUUUCGCAGAGACGGCUGCCGCGGCGGUUACAGCGGCUGUAGCAACGGCAAAGAAAGGGGCUAGUCGGGGUUUUCAGUAUCGGGACUUCUAUUAUGCGAAGCCUCCCACAUUCGAUGGAGUUCAGGACUCGAUUGUUGCUAUGAGAUGGUUAUCAGACAUGGAGGGGUGUUUCUCCACGAGUUUAUGCCCUGCUGAUCAGAGGGUGGGGUGUGCUCUGAACCUAUUGAGGCUCGGGGCGAAGGAUUGGUGGAGAUUGACCACGAGGUCAUUUUCCGAUGCGCAGAGGGCUGCGGUUUCAUGGGAUCAAUUCAGAGGGAUGUUCAGUACUCGCUAUGUUCCGCGGGAUGAAAAGGAGAGAUUGGCUCGGAAGUUCUUUAAGCUGAGGCAGGAUUUGGAGUCGGUGACUGAGAGCACCGGGAUGUUUAUUGAGAGGGCGAUGUUUUGCCCUGAGUUCGCUUCGGAGCAGGCUCAGAUGUCCCGAUAUCCGAGUAUGCUCAAGGGGGGGGAUCAGACAGUUCGUGUCUGCGCAGAGGCGCGAGACCGUGUUGGUAUCGCAGGAGGCCGCCAUGUGGCGUGAGUUAGAGGUUGAGUUGCAGUAGCGUGAGAUGAGGCAGGCCCCGAUGCAGUCGCAGUCGGCGCCGAAACGGUCCAUGACCGUAGACGUUAGAAUGGGGGAUCGGAGCGGUCACACUUGUGGGAAGUGUGAGAGAGAUGGCACCGGAGCUUGUUGGCCCAGUGGUGCAUGCCGCAAGUGCGGAAAGGAGGGGCAUGGUGCACGGGAUUGUCGGCAGUCAGUGCCAAUUCGGGAUUCCAGGAUUUGUUAUCAGUGUCGGCAGGUUGGACAUUUGAGGGUCAACUGUCCACAGCUUUUGCAGGAUCGGUGCAGGCUCUAGCACCGGCCACCUUGAGGAGUUCAGGAGGAGGACAGGAUGGAGUAGAGCCCAAGGGCUCAGGGUUGUGCUUAUCGGCUUGCGGCAGAGGGAGACGGAGCAGUGCCGGAGGCAGCUGCGGGUAUGAUGCUGUCUUGAUGUCUUGAGUAGCUUGCGUUGAUUGUGGCGUAUUGUUUGUGCUGGUGUCUGGUGUGGAUUUCGAUGCGGUAUUCGUUGUUUCGCGGGUUUGGCAUGGUUAUGGAUUGGUGCUUCAGGUUUUCGCUUGGCAUUCGUUGUUCCCUGAUGGUUUAGUAUGAUUAUAGUUUGGUGUUUUGGUACCGGUAGCCUUGUGCGGUUUUCGAUGCGAUAUUCAACCUUUGGCAGGUUGUGGGUUUGGUUAUGGGUUAUUGCUUGGGAAUUCCGUUGGUCAUCGUUCGUGAGGGUUGAUAGUGGAGAUGCGGCACUGGGUUGAAUGACGGGUAGCAUCUGCAGUUGUGGAGUGGAUAAUUGAAAGAUCGGAUUCUUUUGAGCGGAUUGAUCAGGGAGGAGAUGUGUUUUGCUGAGGGUUGCUUACGCUUGUGGGAAGCAGUCAGUGGGUAAAUGUUCUCUUUGUGCAGGAUGGUUCUGAAAGGUCGUUAAUGACGAUCGGUGGCAGUUAGUCAGUGCUUUAGUGGGGGAGAAUUAGAAAAUUCUCCGGGAGAUCGAUGAGUAUGUAAGGGUGCUUAGCUGUUGGGAUUCAGCAGUGUUUGUCAGCGCAAAGUAUAGGCCGACGAGAGCGAGUGUUGAGUAUGCGGGGCGAGAUACAGACCUAGGGCAUUUGAUUGUGGAGGCCUGAGAGGAGGUCGGGAUCAAGCUUGAGUAAGUAAUCGGAAUUUUGCGAUCAGAGUAUUGGUACGUUUGAGGUACGUGAUGGGUUGUACUGCAUUAAUCCCACGGGAUUAUGUUGUGCAUGUUUCUAGAGCUGGAACCGGAAGGUUCCCAGAGUUAGAACCUGAGGGUUCGCAGAGUUUGGGUGUACGGACCCACAGAGAUAUAGCCUCGAGUGGCUAGUAUGUGUUAUGAGAGUCGGUCCAGUCAUACUGGAGACUCUGUUGGUAUUGCUGGAUUAGUUUGAGAUUUGCGGAUCGCGUAUGUUGCAGUGUGAUUGCAUUGGAAGGUCUGGCCCCGGGUUAUUGAUCUUGUUUAGCGGAGGCAGUGAUUUUGAUGAGUGGAGAGAGUGCAUGGGAUUGAGAGCCCCUGCAAUGAGAACCAGAGUAUGUGAAUAGCAGUUACGCAAAAAGGGUGGUGUCGCUUGGGGCGAGCACCGUGGCACCGGUUGGAGUGGCAUUAUGUUCAAGAGAGUUCCGUGGAAAAGGAAAAGAGGAGGGUAUGUAACUCCGAAGGGGGUGCAAGUUCACGAAAGUGAAAGCUGCAGAGCAGAGUUAUGGUUAGAGUAUUUCGAGUAUGGUUUUGAGCAUCGUGUUCGCGGCAGUGGAGUAGGAACCCAUCCGGUUGGGAUGUCUGUUGAGGCUCAGAAGGGAUGCAUGGAGAGAGAAAAUUUUAAAUUCUCAGUGUGAAUCUGAUCAGAGUGUAGGGUGGAUGUAGUGGUUCAUCUUGGGAGAUGUUCGAGGAUAUCAUCAGUGUAUCGGGUCUUUCCACCUGCGGGUGUUGGGACUAGUUCAGUAUGUGUAUGUGAUGGCAAGAGGGAACUUGUGAGAGUUGAUCUGAGAGGGAGAACGGAUCUCUCAGUCGGUCCGGAAUGGGCAAAGUGGGCUUUGGAUCGGGGAUCCGGUGGUUCAGGGUUUCCUAACCCUUAUGGGUUGAGUGAUCGUUGAGAUUUGGAGCAGAGUGCAUCUUGGGUAAUUUCCGAUUACAGAGAGUGAUGAGCAGUUCAGAGUUCGUACUUUAGUUGACAAAGCAGACUCAGCAGGUUAAAGAGAGUUAGUGAUCGUCUAGAGUUAACAGGAAAGUUAUGCAGGCAGACGCCGUUACGAGCAUGUGAUUCAGGUCAGCGACUUCGUAUUUCUGACGGGGUGCUUCGAUUUAGGAAGAGGGGUAAAUGGGGGGCCCCGGUAUGUUGGGUCUUUUCGUGAAGGUGCGAAGGUAGGAAGGGUGGCCUAUCGUUUGGAGCUGUCAACGGAAUUGGGACGGAUCCAUGACACUGGUAUGUGUCGCAGUUGAAGAGGUGUAUAGCGGAUGAGUCAGCAGUGGUUCUACUAGAGAACGAUUAGGUGGAUGCGAGCCUGUGUUACGUCGAGAGGCCAGUGGCCGUCGGAGAUCGGAAGAUCAAGGUUCUGAGGAACAAGGAGGUACCUCUGGUAUUGGUUCAGUAGCGGCCUCGGGAGAGAUCGGUAGUGUCUAGGGAAGCCGAAACGUGUGAUGCGGGAGCAGCAUCCAGAACUAUUUUCAGAGUGAGACUUCGAGGGCGAAGUCUAAUUCUAGUGGGGGAGAAUUGUAACAGCCCAAAAUCUCAAGUAUUGUUAAAUUGCAUUUUGGGGUGUUUUAAAGGGGAGACUCGGCGAGUUGGAGCCAGACUCGCCGAGUAGGGUCGCAGAUUUGGUCGCGGGUUCGCGACUGGACUCGACGAGUCCAGGUAUGGACUCGGCGAGUCGACGCUGUUCAGCAGAAACCCUAGCCGUUUCGUAUGGGGUCGUAUAAAAGGGUUGUUAUGUCGUCAUUUCACGUCUUUUGGCCGAUUGUGGAGAACCCUAAACGACUGUGGCAUCUAGAGCAAACUUGAAGGCCAUUAUUGACUUUGAAGGAAUUGUGGUGCAAGAAGAGGAAGGAUUUUGGCCAAAGGAAGAGCAAGGGGGUCGAGUUCUGAGGUUUGGGGACACAGAGAGUACGUUUUCAGGUUAUGUUUCGGAUCAUUCCUGUUAUUUUGAUGUGUACACGAAUUUAGGGUUUAUGAAACCCAUUUGGGGAUUUGAUGGAUUAUUAUGUUGUUAUACAAAGGUUUCUACCCUAGUAAUAGGAUGAUUAGAGGUCCAGAAGUCCCAUGAGUGUGUAUCUCGGGAAAAACGUAUCUCAGGAAGCAGUUGGAUCGACUGCAUGGCGUGGACUCGCCGAGUCGGAUGAUCAGACUCGGCGAGUAGCUUGAAGAUUCACUGGGACUCGCCGAGUUGUUCUUCAGACUCGGCGAGUGGAGUCGGGGUGGCCCCGCGAUUCUUCCAGGAGUGACUCGUCGAGUCAAAGAGGAUACUCGACGAGUAGAAGGGGAAUCUUAGAGGAUUGAAGGACGACCAGACUCGCCGAGUCGCCAGGGAACUCGCCGAGUCCAGUCGAGCUGACAAUGGACUGUUGACCAGAGUUGACUGGUGUGAUUUCUUAGGGUCAGUUAACGUGGAAGAUAGAAGUAUUAAAAAGGGAUAUAUGAUGUUACAGGGAGCUUGUAGCUCGGAGGAUCAAGUGCAAGGGAUUUUAGGAGUUGCUAUCUUCUAGUGUCCGCGAGGUGAGUCUUCUCACUAUACUUCACCCGGAAGGGUUUGAUUGU